Molecule: long non-coding RNA, 1688 nt
Organism: Salvia miltiorrhiza (redroot sage)
Lineage: Eukaryota; Viridiplantae; Streptophyta; Magnoliopsida; Lamiales; Lamiaceae
Exons: 3
Source: RefSeq, a predicted model, not a curated record
GAUGGAGUAGUGGAUCCACCCAAAACUCUCAAUCUAUAUAUGAGAGAGACAAGAAACCCUUUGCUCAUAAACAAAAAUAGAAGAGAAGAAACCCCUCAUUCCCUCAAUGUUGUCUAAGAAUUAGGUCGAAUCGCGCCGCCAUAUUUUGGGUAAGAAUUUCUUACCAUUUCUUCGUUUAAUUCAUUUACUUUUGCCAUUGCUUCCCUACAUUAUUAAUAUUUAUCAUUCAUCUCUGCUACUUUUUGAUUUAAUGUUUGAUAAUAUCAACCCAAAUUAGACAGUAUUUUGCCAAAUCCCAGAUCUUAUUUUAAAUGUAUCCUCUAUUUAAAAUAGGUGAGAAUGAAGCCACGCCCUUCUGUAAUUAAUUUCACGAAUUUUUUUAUUGUUGUGGUCAAGAUGAAGCAAUACUCUGUUGCCCUUCAUCUGUUCGACCAAAUGCUUCAAAGGUAUGCUCCCAUAUAUCUCUACACCUUGAGUGUUGCGAUUGAUUGCUUUUGUCGACUGAAAAGAGGUGAUUUGGGGUUUACAAUCGUAAGCAGGUUUUGCAAGAAUGUAUACGAGCCUACUCACAGGGCUUUUGUUGGUUGGAAAGAUCUGCGAGGCAACAAUACUAAUGAAGAAGUUGGUGGUUGAGGAACUGUGUGAACCUAAUGAAGUUACUUAUCUUACUAUGAUUAAUGGGAUAUGCAUAGUUUAGAGAUUUGCGUUAUUAUUAAAAAAGAAAUGUGCAAACCCAAUGUCUAUGCUUAUGCCCAGUGAAUCAUUGUCUGUGCAAUGAUAGAAUGGUUGACGAUCUCCAACUUAGUUGAUGAAAGGAUUGAAUGGUUGACGAUCUCCAACUCUUCUCCACUUUGGGUGAUAAUGGCAUUUCCCUUUGUGUUUAGAUAUAUAUUUCGAUAAUUCAGGGGUUAUGCAAUAUUAUGAUAAUUUGGGGUUGAUGAGGAUCACGUAGUGCCAUUGACCACGCUGCAUUGACUCUGGAGAAGAAUAUUCCUGAUGAUUGAUUGUGCAACAUAUGAUAUAUUUUUACGCAUGCAUUUGAAGGAAUAAAUAUAAUGUGUCCCACUUUCUGAGGCUCACGCGAAGAUGGAGAUACAACGUCACAUCUAGGAGAUUCAGGCCACACAAGGAGGGAUGCGACUCCAAAAUACAUUAAAGCUUUAAGGAGAUUGUGACUGGGUUUCAUAAAAUCUAUUCAACGUGGUUACAUCAAAGCAUACUUUCCAGGCCUAUAUAGAGAUUAUUGAUGAUUGAAGUUUAUUUCAAUUAGUUUGUGGUAAGCGUUUGUUUAAUUAGUUUUAUAACAUUAUUAUAAUAUUAUUGUUAUGUGAAAAAUUAGCAUCAUGUGAAAUAUGCGGAAUGCAUUUUAAUGGGACUCAUGUGUGUACUCUAGAGAUAUGAUUUACGCGGCAUGGAUCGGGAUGGCUAGGACUAUAUAUAGAGACUUUCUAAACUCGACGAAGAAGCUCGUCAAAGACACCAACAUAUCCCAAACAAAAUGUUGAAGAGGCUUGGAAAGCAUAUUGGAAUAUUCAUGAAGUUAGGCGCGGAUCGAGCAAGCUAGCAAGAAUUGUCGUUUUGAGCCUGGUGGUCCCAUCUAUUGUAUAUUUGUAUAUGUGUCUUUGGUUUUGACAAUGUGAAUUUUGGAUUCUUAUUGGAUGAUUUAUGAAGUAGAAAGUCGAAAAUGA